GUUUCCAAAGUGUAGUGGUCAUCAUGUCUGCUUUACAGGCAGAAAGUCCUUGGUUCAUUCCCCAGUGGAACCA
Molecule: transfer RNA, 73 nt
Filed under: Ameiurus melas (black bullhead)
Lineage: Eukaryota; Metazoa; Chordata; Actinopteri; Siluriformes; Ictaluridae
Description: tRNA-Val
Source: RNAcentral